GGCAUAUUGGACGCAGCAGGGGGGCAUAUUGGACAAUGGGCCACAAGCCUGAUCCAGCAAUUCUGUGUGCAAGAUGAAGGUCUUCGGAUNGUAAAGUGCUUUCAGUUGGGAAGAAGAAAGUGACGGUACCAACAGAAGAAGCGACGGCUAAAUACGUGCCAGCAGCCGCGGUAAUACGUAUGUCGCAAGCGUUAUCCGGAUUUAUUGGGCGUAAAGCGCGUCUAGGCGGGAAAGAAAGUCUGAUGUUAAAAUGCGGGGCUCAACUCCGUAUUGCGUUGGAAACUCCUUUUCUAGAGUAUCAGAGAGGUGGGCGGAACUACAAGUGUAGAGGUGAAAUUCGUAGAUAUUGUAGGAAUGCCGAUGGAGAAGUCAGCUCACUGGAUGAAUACUGAC
RNAcentral lists this ribosomal RNA (393 nucleotides) under uncultured Cetobacterium sp. RNAcentral's name for it is "bacterial SSU rRNA". It matches the Rfam family "Bacterial small subunit ribosomal RNA", at positions 335 to 744 of the family's 1533-position model. The record is from RNAcentral. Lineage: Bacteria; Fusobacteriati; Fusobacteriota; Fusobacteriia; Fusobacteriales; Fusobacteriaceae.